CACGUAGGGGGCGAGCGUUGUCCGGAUUUAUUGGGCGUAAAGGGCGCGUAGGCGGCUUUAUAAGUCGGGGGUGAAAGCCUGUGGCUCAACCACAGAAUUGCCUUCGAUACUGUAGAGCUUGAGACCGGAAGAGGUAAGUGGAACUGCGAGUGUAGAGGUGAAAUUCGUAGAUAUUCGCAAGAACACCAGUGGCGAAGGCGGCUUACUGGUCCGGUUCUGACGCUGAGGCGCGAAAGCGUGGGGAGCAAACAGG
This 253-nucleotide ribosomal RNA is filed under the name uncultured bacterium. Its description in RNAcentral is "partial 16S ribosomal RNA". It matches the Rfam family "Bacterial small subunit ribosomal RNA", at positions 524 to 776 of the family's 1533-position model. The record is from RNAcentral.